This is a long non-coding RNA of Chinchilla lanigera (long-tailed chinchilla), 809 nucleotides long. RefSeq lists it as uncharacterized. Lineage: Eukaryota; Metazoa; Chordata; Mammalia; Rodentia; Chinchillidae. The transcript is spliced from 4 exons. The record is from RefSeq and is a predicted model, not a curated record.
UCUGGUGCAGACAAAGAGCAAUGAGGACACAGCAUCUUAGGGAAGAGAAACACUGCACAGGGGUGACCUUGCCUUUGGGGAUUUGACUAUCAUCAGCGCAGGGAAAGAACUCAGAGAGGUUAUUGGGGAAGACCACUCCUGAUGGGGGAACCUUUAUGAAAAAUGGCGGUACAUGUGAAUGUCUUUGUUUGGGAAAACAUUCAUAGUCACUGGAAAUGACCCUUUCAUUCUCACUUUUUGGCAAUUUCUCUUCUGGAUGAGUCACUUCUCUUCUGGGAAUUGGGAAUGACAGAUCACAGGAGCUACAGAAAAUGAAAACUGGAAGCGACCUCAGGCUGUGUCAGGUCCAGCUUCUUCACCUUACAAAUGAGCCGAGGAUGCGAAGAGAUGGGCUCCUUCUCACAGGGCAGACGUAGCUUUUAAACACAAGGACGUCUGACAGAAGCAUGCUGCAGUCCACAACACAAGUUAGAACUCCAACUUCUAAGGUGGAGCCACAGAAGGUCCUGAGGUCUCAGAGUUGUACUCUGAAGACAGGCUACGUCUUCACAGAACUUCUGCUCCCUGCAACCUUCCCCGACCAGAAAGGUUCGUGUGUUGGUUGGGAGGACCAGGCAAAUCAACCAACAGAUUAAACAGUGGUGAAGGAAGAUGUGUUUAUUGGCCUCAUUGGGAGCAGAAUGAAGAAUGAAAGAUUUGAGAGCAGAAGGGACCUCAGCAAGUCUUGUAACCCUUGCUCCAACCUUGAAUCUCCCAUAAUCUCAUGGAGAGCUGCUGUACCUUUUCUUUAAAUGAACUCCUUGAACUCA